UCCGGAUCUGGACAUCCACUCCUCUUCRUCCCUCGUGACGCUGGCGGACGAUACCCGUCAGAUGCCCGASUCCCYUCUCCAAGGCUGACCGCUGAAUCCUUCCCUCUCUCUCAAGUUGACUACUGCCCGCUCUGAAGUUCGCCAAGCCCUGGCCGACCUGUCCGUUCCCCGAAGAUUUAACGAACUGGACCCCAGAAUCUCUGUUUCCCUCCCAGGCGUCACUAGACCACUACCACCUGUGCUGUUGCUGCCGCUGCCCGCCGCUCGAACCAGUCCUUUUUUCCACCUCACAAUAAACCUGUUAAACUUU
Poecilia reticulata (guppy) is the source of this 310-nucleotide long non-coding RNA. RefSeq lists it as uncharacterized. NCBI's taxonomy places the organism in Eukaryota, Metazoa, Chordata, Actinopteri, Cyprinodontiformes, Poeciliidae. The record is from RefSeq and is a predicted model, not a curated record.